GCUACGUCUUGUAAUGGUAUAGAAAACAGCACCUACAGUGAAAGUAUCAGGUAUAGGGUGGGUUAGUCCUAAGGUGUGGCCUUUGUCAUUUUAUAGAUAGUAGGCCUAAUUGUAGGAAAGUCAUAUAUGAUAUCGGCCCAGACAAUUAUUGGAGUGUUACAUUACAAUUUAACUGUUGACACGAUGCACUCAAUCAUUUCUGCACUAAUAACAAGAAGAAUAACGAUGUACAUUUUUUUAUUCUUUAUUUUACUUAGUUUUAUGUGCACUUCAACAAUAAUUAAAGCUAAACUUGUAAACAAACACAUUGCUCCUGUAACAACUACAGCUCAAUAUAAGAUAAAAACACUGCUUGUUUCACUCUAAAUUAAUUAUAAUCAAGUACUGUACAAUCAGAGAUGGUAUAACUACUAAUAAUCACGAAUCACCAUUUAUAAGGUGACCUAUUUCUACAAUUCUGCAUCAAUACUGAAUCUGGUCUCAGGGAAUUUUGUGUUAUUCUGUACUUAAAUCCGAGAUGCAGUUGGUAUGAUUACAUAAGACAGAUGGUUACUCACGGCAACAAUUAAAAGUAGGGUGGUUGGUCAGGCGUGUAAUGCGAAAGUCUAGCAACCCAAAAGUUGAAAGUUUGAAUCUCAUCAAGGACAACAUUAGCAUUUGAGCUAAUUAGCAACUUUCCAACUAUACCUACUACUUUUUAGCUACUUUGAAACUACUUAGCAUGUUAGCUAACACUAACCCCUAGCCUAGCUAACGUUAGCGAGCAAGCUAAUGUUAGCCACCUAGCAACCUACCUAGAAUUCAUAGCAUAUUCAUAGCAUAUUGUACAUUUUAGCAAAUUCAUUACAUAUUGCACGUUUUGCACAUUCGUAACAUAUAAUACGACUUGUAAUUCGUAACAAAUCAUAUACGAAAUGGGUAAUGGACAUCCACUAAUUAAUACAUUAAAAAAACAUUAUUUAACCUUUAUUUAUACCACGAUAUGUAACAUAACAUACUAUAUGGGGUGUUUCGGUUUGACAUACAGAAUAAUACAAAAUGCUCUUAGACAAGGUUGCAACACCACCUUUUGCUUUGGCACAUAUUUAACUAGGAAAAUCAGUUAAGUAAAGGUUAAGAACAAAUUCUUAUUUACAGUGAAUGCCUACCGGGGAACAGUGGGUUAACUGCCUUGACCAGGGGCAGAACAACAGAUUUUGACAUUGUCAGCUCGGGGAUUCGAUCCAGCAACCUUUCGGUUACUGGCCCCAUGCAACCACUAGGGUACCUGCUUCCCCAGUAGGCUUAAAUGUUUUGUGCUCAUUGCAGCAGCAGAGGGCACUCUCUAUUGGUCUGUCCCGUUCCAGUGGAAAACAGAGUUAAAUGAAAACAAGUUUGGAACUUCAGGACUUUUCCCGUGGGGUCAUCUUAAAGGAGAACAGAGAGGGGUUUGAUAUUCUGGACAUAAAAACAGACCUUUCAAAGAACAAGAUACAUUAGAAAUUCCCUUCGUUUUGUAUCUUUUUAUAUAAAACACACAACAUAAAUCCUAUCAGCUGUUUCAGGUUAAAAUCACAUGAGAAAAAUUGUGUAGAUCUGUUUUUGUCCACCUUGGAGUGGUUUGUGUUCUCAGACUGAGUCAGACAGAACAACAGCGCAGAAACAAGGCUCACAGUGCUCUGUUCCUAGUGCAUCAUUGUCCUGUUUACAACUACUGCUGAGUAGUCUUAAUGACUUCUGCCAUUGCUCAUCAGCCUUUAUACACACAUGGAUUCUUCAGGAUGGUUGCAUAGCAGUCUGUCUGUCCCCUCCAAACUACAUUGUUCAGGCAAUACCAAUACUUUAGAGAGCAUCCCUCCUUCCUUGGUUCCUCCCUUGAAUCGCUCUUUCCUCCCUUCCUUGAAGGGAGGGAAGGGUGCAUUUUAUAAGUAUUGCAACUGGGCCACUGUCCCCUCCUCCUCAGACAGCCUGUAAGGGCUGGACCCGGGAACCCUGGUAUUUAGGCUUUCCACAGCAACAGCAGUGAACGCAGGAUAGCACAAUCAUAAACAGGAAAGUGGC
RNAcentral lists this long non-coding RNA (2040 nucleotides) under Salmo salar (Atlantic salmon). RNAcentral describes it as "lncRNA (ENSSSAG00000094593.1)". The record is from RNAcentral. Lineage: Eukaryota; Metazoa; Chordata; Actinopteri; Salmoniformes; Salmonidae.